ACGGGAGGCAGCAGUGGGGGAUAUUGCACAAUGGAGGAAACCCUGAUGCAGCAACGCCGCGUGAGGGAAGAAGGUUUUCGGAUUGUAAACCUCUGUUUUUAGUGACGAAACAAAUGACGGUAGCUAAAGAGGAAGCCACGGCUAACUACGUGCCAGCAGCCGCGGUAAUACGUAGGUGGCAAGCGUUGUCCGGAUUUACUGGGUGUAAAGGGUGCGCAGGCGGGACUGCAAGUUGGAUGUGAAAUACCGGAGCUCAACUCCGGAACUGCAUCCAAAACUGUAGUUCUUGAGUGGAGUAGAGGUAAGCGGAAUUCCGAGUGUAGCGGUGAAAUGCGUAGAUAUUCGGAGGAACACCAGUGGCGAAGGCGGCUUACUGGGCGCUAACUGACGCUGAGGCACGAAAGCAUGGGUAGCAAACAGGAUUAGAUACCCUGGUA
RNAcentral lists this ribosomal RNA (437 nucleotides) under uncultured Ethanoligenens sp. RNAcentral describes it as "partial 16S ribosomal RNA". It matches the Rfam family "Bacterial small subunit ribosomal RNA", at positions 341 to 792 of the family's 1533-position model. Lineage: Bacteria; Bacillati; Bacillota; Clostridia; Eubacteriales; Oscillospiraceae. The record is from RNAcentral.